RNAcentral lists this unclassified non-coding RNA (499 nucleotides) under Hevea brasiliensis (rubber tree). Lineage: Eukaryota; Viridiplantae; Streptophyta; Magnoliopsida; Malpighiales; Euphorbiaceae. The record is from RNAcentral.
UGCUCCUCCAAUCUUCAUCACGACACGGAGCGGUGACGCCGUCACAGAUGGGAGCGAGCCUAUUGCAAUUCAAUCGGUGGAAGAGCUCCGCAUUGGGAUCCCUCUCGAUCACAACAUCGUACGCAGAAAUCUGAACGGCACCCCUAUUGCUCGUGAUCCCCCCGCGCACCCAGCACACUAACCCCCAAUAUUGAUUUCGGAAUAAGUGGCCAUGUCCGCAAUUAAUCGAACAUCUGUAGGCCUUCGGCGAGAGAAGUAAGGGAAGAUGCGUUUGUUGAACCAGAGAAAGCAGCUAACACAAUCGUCGAUUGUGAAUUUGAGGAAUUUGAUUGGUUUGUGCACACGAGAGGUGACGAUGGCGAGGAUUUUGGAGCGUUAGAGAUACUUGCCUGAGGGAGAGAAGGAGAUUGGGUCCGAGGAGCAGAGGAGAGGAGAGGAGUGCUCGAGAGGAGAUAGAAGGCCAGGUGUUUUGCGCGCGUUUUGUAGAAUUUUUGAUCCA